UCGUUUCUGCAUAAUUUUUCACGGGUUUAACCCAUUUUUCACCCCAAAACUCCCAAUUUUGAUCUCCCAAUGCCCAAACAUGUUUCCAAAGAUUGUUUAUAGGUUCAUUAUACAAUUAGGCAUCUAAAGGAACAUAAAACAUGCAUCAACAACAACAAUUCAUCUCAUUCUCACAAUCUUGCAAUUUCCCCCAAUUUUCCUCCAAC
Molecule: long non-coding RNA, 206 nt
Filed under: Medicago truncatula (barrel medic)
Lineage: Eukaryota; Viridiplantae; Streptophyta; Magnoliopsida; Fabales; Fabaceae
Description: long non-coding RNA (MTRU_LNC001594)
Source: RNAcentral